GACGAACGCUGGCGGCGUGCUUAACACAUGCAAGUCGAACGGAAAGGCCCUGCUUUUGUGGGGUGCUCGAGUGGCGAACGGGUGAGUAACACGUGAGUAACCUGCCCUUGACUUUGGGAUAACUUCAGGAAACUGGGGCUAAUACCGGAUAGGAGCUCCUGCUGCAUGGUGGGGGUUGGAAAGUUUCGGCGGUUGGGGAUGGACUCGCGGCUUAUCAGCUUGUUGGUGGGGUAGUGGCUUACCAAGGCUUUGACGGGUAGCCGGCCUGAGAGGGUGACCGGCCACAUUGGGACUGAGAUACGGCCCAGACUCCUACGGGAGGCAGCAGUGGGGAAUAUUGCACAAUGGGCGGAAGCCUGAUGCAGCAACGCCGCGUGCGGGAUGACGGCCUUCGGGUUGUAAACCGCUUUCGCCUGUGACGAAGCGUGAGUGACGGUAAUGGGUAAAGAAGCACCGGCUAACUACGUGCCAGCAGCCGCGGUGAUACGUAGGGUGCGAGCGUUGUCCGGAUUUAUUGGGCGUAAAGGGCUCGUAGGUGGUUGAUCGCGUCGGAAGUGUAAUCUUGGGGCUUAACCCUGAGCGUGCUUUCGAUACGGGUUGACUUGAGGAAGGUAGGGGAGAAUGGAAUUCCUGGUGGAGCGGUGGAAUGCGCAGAUAUCAGGAGGAACACCAGUGGCGAAGGCGGUUCUCUGGGCCUUUCCUGACGCUGAGGAGCGAAAGCGUGGGGAGCGAACAGGCUUAGAUACCCUGGUAGUCCACGCUGUAAACGGUGGGUACUAGGUGUGGGGUCCAUUCCACGGGUUCCGUGCCGUAGCUAACGCUUUAAGUACCCCGCCUGGGGAGUACGGCCGCAAGGCUAAAACUCAAAGGAAUUGACGGGGCCCCGCACAAGCGGCGGAGCAUGCGGAUUAAUUCGAUGCAACGCGUAGAACCUUACCUGGGUUUGACAUGGAUCGGGAGUGCUCAGAGAUGGGUGUGCCUCUUUUGGGGUCGGUUCACAGGUGGUGCAUGCCUGUCGUCAGCUCGUGUCGUGAGAUGUUGGGUUAAGUCCCGCAACGAGCGCAACCCUUGUUCACUGUUGCCAGCACGUUAUGGUGGGGACUCAGUGGAGACCGCCGGGGUCAACUCGGAGGAAGGUGGGGAUGACGUCAAGUCCUCAUGCCCCUUAUGUCCAGGGCUUCACGCAUGCUACAAUGGCUGGUACAGAGAGUGGCGAGCCUGUGAGGGUGAGCGAAUCUCGGAAAGCCGGUCUCGGUUCGGAUUGGGGUCUGCAACUCGACCUCAUGAAGUCGGAGUCGCUAGUAAUCGCAGAUCAGCAACGCUGCGGUGAAUACGUUCCCGGGGCU
RNAcentral lists this ribosomal RNA (1346 nucleotides) under uncultured bacterium. Its description in RNAcentral is "bacterial SSU rRNA". It matches the Rfam family "Bacterial small subunit ribosomal RNA", at positions 28 to 1381 of the family's 1533-position model. The record is from RNAcentral.